This is a long non-coding RNA of Bombus pascuorum, 807 nucleotides long. RefSeq lists it as uncharacterized. The record is from RefSeq and is a predicted model, not a curated record. The transcript is spliced from 2 exons. NCBI's taxonomy places the organism in Eukaryota, Metazoa, Arthropoda, Insecta, Hymenoptera, Apidae.
CCCUUUUUUCCUUCCUUCCUCAAUUUAUAGAAACUACCUUUGCGUCGUCGAGCUCUUGUCUAGCCCUACCUACUCAUGCGCAUCUUCAACCUAACUAUAUCUACAAAUUUCCGCACUGUUCCACAUACAGGGUGGUGCCCUUUACAACUCACCAAAAUUCGACAUACACGCAUGUACGUUGCGACAUCACUGCAGUCUCUCGAUAUUGUUUUAACACAUUGUCUGUCACGGUGACCAUCGGUAACUCACGAGUUUUACUAAAUUUUGUAGAAUGGUUAAAAUAAAAUAAAUUUCAUAAAUUAAAAAAUUGUCAAUAAUGUGAAUAACUUAAAUAACGUUGUCAGAAAAAAAGUACGUAAAUAAAGUGUAAUAUUUUGCAAAAAUUAAAUAUAUAGUGUAGUAUAUCUAAAUCCAUCAUUGUCUCAAGACGAUGUAUAUAAAAUUCGCGUAGCAGUCCAAGUAGUACAAGUUUUGAUUAGAGGACAUGCUUAGUUAUAGAAAAGAAGAAAGGGAUUGGGUGUUAGAGAUUUUGUACAUUAAUAUUAAAAAAAUUAAAUCUGACAAAUAGUUUUGUGUAUUUUACGUAGAGAGGAUAUCUGAUUUAUUGAGGAUGUUAUUUCAUUCAAGCUGCAGCUCCACAGAUAAAAAUCUGAAACAUUUAGGUCAUGAAAAGUUGAUAACCAUUUAAUGUAUCCAUAUAACAGAACAGGUCUGUUAGGAAAUAUUUUAAAAAAAUUAUUAUUAAGUAUUUUGUAUGUAUAGCAAUAGCUGUUAAAACAAAACACAGUUUAUUUUUCUUAAAUGAAA